Molecule: transfer RNA, 62 nt
Filed under: marine eukaryotic metagenome
Rfam family: tRNA
About the family: Transfer RNA (tRNA) molecules are approximately 80 nucleotides in length. Their secondary structure includes four short double-helical elements and three loops (D, anti-codon, and T loops).
Source: RNAcentral
GGAUCGUCUAAUGGUAGGACAGCGGACUCUGACUCCGCUAGUGAGGGUUCGAAUCCUUCUCC